RNAcentral lists this ribosomal RNA (737 nucleotides) under uncultured bacterium. RNAcentral describes it as "bacterial SSU rRNA". It matches the Rfam family "Bacterial small subunit ribosomal RNA", at positions 63 to 789 of the family's 1533-position model. The record is from RNAcentral.
CUUCUUUUUCCCCGGAGCUUGCUCCCCGGAAAAAGAAGAAUGGCCAACGGGUGAAUAACACCUGGGUAACCUGCCCAUCCAAAGGGGAUUACCCUUGGAAACCAGGGCCUAUACCCUAUUACCAUCCAAACCCCCUGGGUUUUAAUUUAAAAGGCCCUUCCGGUGGCCCCUAAUGAAUGAACCCCCGGUGCAUUACCUAUUUGGGAACCUACCGGCUCACCAAGGCCCCGGUGCAUACCCAACCUGAAAGGGUGAUCGGCCACUUUGGGACUGAGACACGGCCCAAACUCCUACGGGAGGCAGCAGUAGGGAAUCUUCGGCAAUGGACGAAAGUCUGACCGAGCAACGCCGCGUGAGUGAAGAAGGUUUUCGGAUCGUAAAACUCUGUUGUUAGAGAAGAACAAGGAUGAGAGUAACUGUUCAUCCCUUGACGGUAUCUAACCAGAAAGCCACGGCUAACUACGUGCCAGCAGCCGCGGUAAUACGUAGGUGGCAAGCGUUGUCCGGAUUUAUUGGGCGUAAAGCGAGCGCAGGCGGUUUCUUAAGUCCGAUGUGAAAGCCCCCGGCUCAACCGGGGAGGGUCAUUGGAAACUGGGAGACUUGAGUGCAGAAGAGGAGAGUGGAAUUCCAUGUGUAGCGGUGAAUGCGUAGAUAUAUGGAGGAACCCAGUGGCGAGGCGGCUCUCUGGUCUGAACUGACCUGAGCUCGAAGCGUGGGAGCAACAGAUAGAUACCUGU